GGGGAAUAUUGGACAAUGGGGGCAACCCUGAUCCAGCCAUGCCGCGUGAGUGAUGAAGGCCUUAGGGUUGUAAAGCUCUUUUACCAGGGAAGAUAAUGACGGUACCUGGAGAAUAAGCCCCGGCUAACUUCGUGCCAGCAGCCGCGGUAAUACGAAGGGGGCUAGCGUUGCUCGGAAUCACUGGGCGUAAAGCGCACGUAGGUGGGUCAUUUAGUCAGGGGUGAAAUCCUGGAGCUCAACUCCAGAACUGCCUCUGAUACUGAUGAUCUUCGAGUCCGGGAGAGGUGGGUGGAACUGCGAGUGUAGAGGUGAAAUUCGUAGAUAUUCGCAAGAACACCAGUGGCGAAGGCGGCUCACUGGCCCCGGUACUGACACUGAGGUGCGAAAGCGUGGGGAGCAAACAG
RNAcentral lists this ribosomal RNA (404 nucleotides) under uncultured bacterium. RNAcentral's name for it is "bacterial SSU rRNA". It matches the Rfam family "Bacterial small subunit ribosomal RNA", at positions 356 to 775 of the family's 1533-position model. The record is from RNAcentral.